GAAAUGCGAUAAGUAAUGUGAAUUGCAGAAUUCAGUGAAUAAUCGAAUCUUUGAACGCACCUUGCGCUCAUUGGUAUUCCUUGGAGCAUGCCUGUUUGAGUAUCAUGAAAUCUUCAAAGUAAAUCUUUUGUUAACUCAAUUGGUUUCUACUUUGGUAUUGGAGGUCUUUGCAGCUUCACACCUGCUCCUCUUUGUUCAUUAGCUGGAUCUCAGUGUUAUGCUUGGUUCCACUCGGCGUGAUAAGUUAUCUAUCGCUGAGGACACUGUAAAAGGUGGCCAAGGUAAAUGCAGAUGAACCGCUUCUAAUAGUCCAUUGACUUGGACAAUACUUUUAUGAUCUGAUCUCAAAUCAGGUAGGACUACCCGCUGAACUUAAGC
Molecule: unclassified non-coding RNA, 378 nt
Filed under: plant metagenome
Description: partial contains 5.8S ribosomal RNA, internal transcribed spacer 2, and large subunit ribosomal RNA
Rfam family: 5.8S ribosomal RNA (bases 1-105)
Source: RNAcentral